AAAAGUGUGUUUUUAUCCUUGUCUCUUAACCCUAAGACGGAUUAAGUUGGCAGCUGGAAGCAUCUGCUUCUCCGCGGUUUGGUUGCUCCCCCUGGUUGGGUGUCUGUACUCUGUAUAUACCAAGUCUUGACGUCAACGAUGACAUCAUCAAUCCCCUGAUUUUUGAUUUUUUCGUCGUUGUUUUGCUUGCAUAUGCUGUCAAGAAGCGCUUCAUCCCCCGUGAGUUUCUUGAACUUCAUUCAUUCCCCUUUCCCGUCUAGUCCUCCGGACAAGCUUUAACUAAUUCUAAGGUUUUGGGUCGUACGCCAAAGCAAAAAGAAAGCAAAAAGCUUCAGCUUUGAGGCGGUAGUCAUUUUGGCAUCCAAUAGAUGAAUCGUUGUUGGCGGGUUUUCUCUUUCUUUGCCCCCUUUUUUUUUUUUUAUAAGAAACGAUGAAUGUAGAUUGAUAAUAUGGAUCCAAGCACUCAUCUUUCUUUAAUUUUGAGUCACUUCUGUCGAUUGUUCAUUGUUAUAUGCUGGGUCCCGAAUUGUGGUUUAGUUGGUAUGAACAGAAACUUGGAGCUUUUAUGUGAAUUUACAGGAGGCAAUAGUUUAUAAUAUAUGUGCAUACAUUGGAUACUGGUAGUUCGUACAUUAGCAAAAGCUGUUUACUAUAGUGUACAAGUUUCAUCAAGAACUGUAGACAAAAGCAGCAAAAGCUGGUAUGUACAUUAGCAAAAGGUGAUCAUUGACAAAAAUAGGUGACUUUAUGACACUAAACUGAUCUCAAAAGCUGAUGCAAAACAUAGGAAUGGUGCAUGAUUUUAGUCGAUUAUUUGGUGCUUUGGCUGGUCAGUGAUUGUUGCUGGUGGAUCUCUUUUCUUAGUUGCUGUAGCUUGUGCGAUGGUUGGAUUGGUUGUGUCUUUGCUUGAAUCUUCAGUUGCAAUUUGUUGAUCAGGUAGGUUUGAUGAUGAGGCUUCAUUGGUUGCUGGUGCAGGGGUCUGUGUAGGAUCUUCAAUUGGUAGACAAGCGAGGAUGUUGUACUUUGCUACAAUUGUGUUUUGUAGAGGAUGAGUGAAUUUCCUGACUUGAAAACGAAAUGUGCUCAUAUGGAGCUUUAUAUUGAUGUCUGCAAUAUCUGGAAUUUGGUUCUGUGGACAUUGGUUUCUGAAUGAGUAUGUCUUUGGUUUGGUAUAUGAAUAGUGUGAAUAAAUUUGUAUUCUAUAAAAAGUAAUGUUGUUAAUGUUCAAAAUUACCUUUAGUGUCAUGUAGAGUAUGUCUUCAGCAGAGAUGUUGAGAAUGUGUUGAGCAUGCUGGUCUUCAAUUUGUGCAGUAAUUGUUCCAGUAGUAUCAGACAGUUGCACUAAGAACUUGAGCCUGCAUUAAGUAUUAUGGUUUUGUUAUGUUAUGAUAAGAAGAAUGUUAUGAAUUUUAGUGUGUAAAUAUGUUUAUGGAUUUACCUUGGCAGUGGUUUUGCAAAUGUCAUGUUGCAAUGACGGCAUAAGAAGUUGAAAUUUGCUUGAGCUCCAGUUUGUUUCUUGCAAUUAGAAGCUGGACAGGUAAGGAUGUAGAGUCGAUGUUGAGGCUGAACUAUCUUUGCUUUGGCUUUGAUCCAGAAUGGCUUUGCCUGUAAGAUUUCAUGUGGUUAAAUAUUAGAUUUUGUUGUGAUAGUAUUUGUUAUCGAAUAUAUUGUAUUUUGUACUGAUAAAUGUAGUAGUUGUACCAGAUAAGGAGUAUUUAGUGCAUAGCUGAUGUCGUGCAUAUGUUCUUCAGGAGGAGGUUGGACUGUUUGAUGAGUUGCAUCAUAAAGUUUUUUUGCUAAAACUUGCUCAAUAUAAGGUCUGCUUGCUUUGGUCCUGUUAUAUUGUAUAGGAUGGUGUCAGAUUUUGGUUAUAAUGUGCCUAACGAAUAAGUAAAUAUUGACUUUAUCAACUUACCAACUUUUGAGUUCUAGUGCUUGAGGGAUUUGUGGAUCAAACAAGAUAGCACUCAUUGUUUGUGUCUCGACAGAUAAAACUGUUAUAUGAUUAUUUGAAAAAUUAGUACUAUAUUCUGUAAAGCAGAUAAUAUACUUGACUUUUGUAAGUUUAUAUGAAUUAGGGACAGAUUGACAUACCAUGUACUGAAGUCACUUUGGCUCUUGUUAUAAUCAAUGUCGGGGAUUGAUUUAAGAUCCUCAGAAGGUAUUGUGCUUCAAUGUCAAUGAAUUUUGGCCACAUUGUAAGUAUCAUUGGCUUUUGUCUGCAUCAGUUAUCAAUAGUUAAUAUGAGUUUUGUGUUGUAUUGCACUUUAUUAAUUUGCAUUGUUUUUAUACUUACUCUUGAUUUAGGAUGAUGAAUUCUUGAAUUGGAUAAUCGCCUCUUUGUCGUGCAAUGAAGCGACGGGGAAGAGCUCCAAUGACAGUGCAUAGCAGAGCUGAGACAAGAGCAUUAGGUAUUAGUAUUGAUAUGUAAGAAUCAUUGUAGUAACAAUGUAAUGAAAAUUAUUAAAGUGAAGUAGUACUUAUCGGAUUUGUAUUUGUAUCCAUGUACUUAUAGAAGUCUCUGAAUGGUGUAAAAUUGUAGCACUGAUCGAUAGGAUACUGGUUUUCUUGAUCUGCUUCUUUGAUGAAUGUACCUCUGGUCAAGGUUAGUUGAAAUGGUGAAGUGCAGUAUCUGAAAUUUU
This 2642-nucleotide long non-coding RNA is filed under the name Coffea arabica (coffee). RNAcentral's name for it is "long non-coding RNA (CARA_LNC006761)". The record is from RNAcentral. Lineage: Eukaryota; Viridiplantae; Streptophyta; Magnoliopsida; Gentianales; Rubiaceae.